GCGGGCUGAAAAUCACUCGGGAUCUCCUGUGGCCCCUGGUGAGAUAACUGCGCCAACAGCAUUGGGAACAUUAAGCUUAUUGCCCACGGUGAUGCGUGGGGAGUGAAACCCAUGUUCCGAUAACC
Small nucleolar RNA from Patagioenas fasciata monilis, 125 nucleotides. It matches the Rfam family "Small nucleolar RNA ACA64". The record is from Rfam. Lineage: Eukaryota; Metazoa; Chordata; Aves; Columbiformes; Columbidae.